RNAcentral lists this microRNA precursor (78 nucleotides) under Rattus norvegicus (Norway rat). Its description in RNAcentral is "mir-3473 microRNA precursor family". It matches the Rfam family "mir-3473 microRNA precursor family". The record is from Rfam by way of RNAcentral. Lineage: Eukaryota; Metazoa; Chordata; Mammalia; Rodentia; Muridae.
ACUGCUGAGCCAUCUCUCUAGUCCCUCUCCUAAUUUUUAAAAACUUAGAGUUGGGGGCUGGAGAGAUGGCUCAGCGGU